This 174-nucleotide transfer-messenger RNA is filed under the name Paracoccaceae bacterium. Its description in RNAcentral is "Rhodobacteraceae bacterium (activated sludge metagenome) partial transfer-messenger RNA". It matches the Rfam family "Alphaproteobacteria transfer-messenger RNA", at positions 1 to 180 of the family's 355-position model. From Rfam's summary of the family: Bacterial tmRNA, also known as 10Sa RNA or SsrA, is named for its dual tRNA and mRNA-like properties. The record is from RNAcentral. Lineage: Bacteria; Pseudomonadati; Pseudomonadota; Alphaproteobacteria; Rhodobacterales; Paracoccaceae.
CAUCUUGAAUAGCUGCACGAUGCGGCCUAUAUUGGCGGUGUUCCCUUGGGGACUAUGGUGAUAAACGCGCAUGUAAUAAACGGAUCGGACCCGGGGGCGGUACCCGGCGACUCCACCAAAACCCGUUCAUUUGACGGUCAUGGGGUCGAAACAGGAUCGACGGACGUCUAAAGA